This 253-nucleotide ribosomal RNA is filed under the name uncultured bacterium. RNAcentral's name for it is "partial 16S ribosomal RNA". It matches the Rfam family "Bacterial small subunit ribosomal RNA", at positions 524 to 776 of the family's 1533-position model. The record is from RNAcentral.
GACGAAGGGGGCUAGCGUUGUUCGGAAUUACUGGGCGUAAAGCGAGUGUAGGUGGUUGUCCAAGUUGGAUGUGAAAGCCUUGAGCUCAACUCAAGAAAUGCAUUCAGGACUGGGCGGCUAGAGGACCGGAGAGGAUAGUGGAAUUCCCAGUGUAGUGGUGAAAUACGUAGAGAUUGGGAAGAACACCAGUGGCGAAGGCGGCUCACUGGACCGGAACUGACGCUGAGGCGCGAAAGCGUGGGGAGCAAACAGG